AAGAAAGCUUGCUUUCUUUGCUGGCGACCGGCGCACGGGUGAGUAACACGUAUCCAACCUGCCCUUUACUCGGGGAUAGCCUUUCGAAAGAAAGAUUAAUACCCGAUGGCAUAAUGAUUCCGCAUGGUUUAUUAUUAAAGGAUUCCGGUAAAGGAUGGGGAUGCGUUCCAUUAGGUUGUUGGUGAGGUAACGGCUCACCAAGCCUUCGAUGGAUAGGGGUUCUGAGAGGAAGGUCCCCCACAUUGGAACUGAGACACGGUCCAAACUCCUACGGGAGGCAGCAGUGAGGAAUAUUGGUCAAUGGGCGCU
RNAcentral lists this ribosomal RNA (309 nucleotides) under Bacteroides fragilis. Its description in RNAcentral is "bacterial SSU rRNA". It matches the Rfam family "Bacterial small subunit ribosomal RNA", at positions 72 to 379 of the family's 1533-position model. The record is from RNAcentral. Lineage: Bacteria; Pseudomonadati; Bacteroidota; Bacteroidia; Bacteroidales; Bacteroidaceae.